GGGGACCCGCACAAGCAGCGGAGCGUGUGGUUUAAUUCGUUGCUACACGAAGAACCUUACCUGGGUUUGACAUAUAGGUUGUAGGGAACUGAAAAGGGACCGACCCUUCGGGGAGCCUAUACAGGUGUUGCAUGGCUGUCGUCAGCUCGUGUCGUGAGAUGUUCGGUUAAGUCCGCUAACGAGCGCAACCCUCGUCGUAUGUUAUAUGUGUCAUACGAGACUGCCGGUAAAAAGCCGGAGGAAGGUGAGGAUGAUGUCAAGUCAGCAUGACCUUUAUAUCCAGGGCUACACACACGCUACAAUGGUCUGUACAAUGGGUAGCCAAGCCGCGAGGCGGAGCCAAUCCUGAAAGCAGGCCUCAGUUCAGAUUGCAGUCUGCAACUCGACUGCAUGAAGCCGGAGUUGCUAGUAACCGCAGGUCAGCAAUACUGCGGUGAAUACGUUCCCGGGUCUU
Molecule: ribosomal RNA, 454 nt
Filed under: uncultured Anaerolineaceae bacterium
Lineage: Bacteria; Bacillati; Chloroflexota; Anaerolineae; Anaerolineales; Anaerolineaceae
Description: bacterial SSU rRNA
Rfam family: Bacterial small subunit ribosomal RNA
Source: RNAcentral